CUACGGAGGGUGCAAGCGUUGUUCGGAAUUAUUGGGCGUAAAGCGCGUGUAGGCGGCUUGGUAAGUCAGGUGUGAAAGCCCUUAGCUCAACUAAGGAAAGUCAUCUGAAACUGCCAGGCUUGAGUACGGGAGAGGAGAGUGGAAUUCCCGGUGUAGAGGUGAAAUUCGUAGAUAUCGGGAGGAACACCCGUGGCGAAGGCGACUCUCUGGACCGAUACUGACGCUGAGACGCGAAAGCGUGGGGAGCAAACAGCAUUAGAUACCCCGGUAGUCC
RNAcentral lists this ribosomal RNA (274 nucleotides) under uncultured bacterium. Its description in RNAcentral is "partial 16S ribosomal RNA". It matches the Rfam family "Bacterial small subunit ribosomal RNA", at positions 523 to 796 of the family's 1533-position model. The record is from RNAcentral.